GCGGUGGCUCAGUGGCAGAGUGUUUGCCUAGCAUGUGUGAGACACUGGGUUUGAUCCCCAGCACCACA
Molecule: transfer RNA, 68 nt
Filed under: Marmota monax (woodchuck)
Lineage: Eukaryota; Metazoa; Chordata; Mammalia; Rodentia; Sciuridae
Description: tRNA.Ala
Source: RNAcentral